Molecule: non-coding RNA, 99 nt
Organism: Paramuricea clavata
Lineage: Eukaryota; Metazoa; Cnidaria; Anthozoa; Malacalcyonacea; Plexauridae
Source: the annotation of a GenBank genome assembly
GGCGUAAGGAGAUAGCUCUCGUGUGCGGGCGAUUUAAGUGGCACGAAUGACAAAAGUCGUUCGUAAAUCGCCCGCACACGAGAGCUAUCCCCUUACGCC